GCUUAUGGCGGGGUGCAAUGGGAGGCCUACGGGCCUGCCGGGUUCCUUGAGUACCGGUUCGCCAACCCGUUGCAUCCCGCCGCCCAU
RNAcentral lists this non-coding RNA (87 nucleotides) under Frateuria aurantia DSM 6220. The record is from RNAcentral. Lineage: Bacteria; Pseudomonadati; Pseudomonadota; Gammaproteobacteria; Lysobacterales; Rhodanobacteraceae.